RNAcentral lists this ribosomal RNA (804 nucleotides) under Psammogobius biocellatus (sleepy goby). RNAcentral's name for it is "partial 12S rRNA". It matches the Rfam family "Bacterial small subunit ribosomal RNA", at positions 214 to 1419 of the family's 1533-position model. The record is from RNAcentral. Lineage: Eukaryota; Metazoa; Chordata; Actinopteri; Gobiiformes; Gobiidae.
CCCCCUGUGAGAAUGCCCUACCCCUUUCCCCACAGGAAAGAAGGAGCUGGUAUCAGGCACAAGUAUUUUUAGCCCAUGACGCCUUGCUCAGCCACACCCCCAAGGGAACCCAGCAGUAAUAGACAUUAAGCAAUAAGUGUAAACUUGACUUAGUUAAUAUCAAGAGGGCCGGUUAAACUCGUGCCAGCCACCGCGGUUAUACGAGAGGCCCAAGUUGACGAACAACCGGCGUAAAGAGUGGUUAAUAGUAACUUAACUAAAGCCGAACACCUCCAAGGCUGUUAUACGCACCCGAAGGCAGGAAGCCCUCCCACGAAAGUGGCUUUAAUAUACUAUGACCCCACGAACGCUAGGACACAAACUGGGAUUAGAUACCCCACUAUGCCUAGCCCUAAACACAAAUAUGACCCUUACCCCUCAUAUUCGCCAGGGAACAACGAGCCCCAGCUUAAAACCCAAAGGACUUGGCGGUGCUUUAGCCCCCCUAGAGGAGCCUGUUCUAGAACCGAUACUCCCCGUUCAACCUCACCCUCUCUUGUUUUUCCCGCCUAUAUACCGCCGUCGUCAGCUUACCCUGUGAAGGGCCAAUAGUAAGCAAAAUUGGCAAAGCCCAGAACGUCAGGUCGAGGUGUAGCGCACGGGAGGGGAAGAAAUGGGCUACAUUUACUGAGCCAGUAAACACGAAUGAUAAAAUGAAACCGUAUCUGAAGGAGGAUUUAGCAGUAAGAGGAGAACAGAGCGCUCCUCUGAAAUCGGCCCUGAAGCGCGCACACACCGCCCGUCACUCUCCCCAAGCCAAACCCA